This 1661-nucleotide ribosomal RNA is filed under the name Opsarius pulchellus. Its description in RNAcentral is "16S ribosomal RNA". It matches the Rfam family "Bacterial large subunit ribosomal RNA", at positions 210 to 2837 of the family's 2925-position model. The record is from RNAcentral. Lineage: Eukaryota; Metazoa; Chordata; Actinopteri; Cypriniformes; Danionidae.
CCACCAUAAAGGCUAACAACAUUAAUUUGUAGAAGAUACCUAACGAAACCAAUCAAACCAUUUUCCUUAUCUAAGUAUGGGGGACAGAAAAGACCGUAAGAGAGCGAUAGAGGAAGUACCGCAAGGGAAAGAUGAAAGAGGAAUGAAAUAACCCAUUUAAGCACAAGAAAACAGGGAUUAAGCCCCGUACCUUUUGCAUCAUGAUUUAGCCAGCAACUAUUAAGCAAAGAGACCUGUAGUUUAGUUCCCCGAAACCAGGUGAGCUACCCCGAGACAGCCUACAAAUCUAGGGCCAACCCGUCUCUGUGGCAACAGAGUGGGAAGAUCUCCCGGUAGAGGUGACAGACCUAUCGAACCUGGUCAUAGCUGGUUGCCUAAGAAGUGAAUAAAAGUUCAGCCUGGUACACCUCCACGUUUAAAUAAUAUUAAAAACUUAGGAACAUAUACUAGAGUUAGUCGGAGGGGGGACAGCCCCUUUGACAAAGGACACAACCUUUACAGGUGAAUAAAGAUCAAAAUUUUUAAGGCAAAUUGUUUUGGUGGGCCUAAAAGCAGCCAUCCAACCAGAAGGCGUUAAAGCCCGAACAAGAAGAAGUCAGUUAUAUCGAAAAUACAAUCUUAAUUCCCUAAGAGUAUUAGGCCGCCCCAUGCCCAUCAUGGGAGAGAUAAUGCUAAAAUGAGUAAAUAGAAGAUUAGAACUUCUCCUGGCACAAGUGUAAGUCGGAUCGGACUGACCACCGAUAAUUUACGGGCCCAAAUAAAAGAGGGAAUUGUGACCUACAUAAUAAUCAAGAAGACCCCACAAUAAUUACCGUUACCCCCACACUGGAGUGCACCUUAGGAAAGACUAAAAGGGGGGGAAGGAACUCGGCAAACACAAGCCUCGCCUGUUUACCAAAAACAUCGCCUCCUGCGACUAAACCGUAUAGGAGGUCCAGCCUGCCCGGUGACUAUCGGUUAAACGGCCGCGGUAUUCUGACCGUGCAAAGGUAGCGUAAUCACUCGUCCUUUAAAUGGGGUCAAGUAUGAAAGGCUAAACGAAGGCUUAACUGUCUCCCCUCCCCAGUCAGUGAAAUUGAUCUAUCCGUGCAGAAGCGGGUAUAAAAAUACAAGACGAGAAGACCCUUUGGAGCUUAAGGUACAGCACUUAACCACAUUAAGCAAGUCAAUAAAAACCUAAAUUCCCCUAGUGGCAACUAAGACUCUACCUUCGGUUGGGGCGACCACGGAGCAAAGGAUAACCUCCUAGUGGAAUGGGAAAACUCCUAGAGCUGAGAGGCCCACCUCUAAGCCACAGAAAUUCUGACCAAAAUGAUCCGGCCAUCUGGCCGAUAAACGAACCAAGUUACCCUAGGGAUAACAGCGCAAUCCUCUUCCAGAGCCCAUAUCGACAAGAGGGUUUACGACCUCGAUGUUGGAUCAGGACAUCCUAAUGGUGCAGCCGCUAUUAAGGGUUCGUUUGUUCAACGAUGAAAGUCCUACGUGAUCUGAGUUCAGACCGGAGUAAUCCAGGUCAGUUUCUAUCUGUAAAGCUAUUUUUCCCCAGUACGAAAGGACAGGGAAAGGGGGGCCCAUGCCCAAAGUAUGCCCCAUCCUAAAUUUAUGAAUAAAGAUAAAUCAAGAAAAGGAGGCUAUAAAGCCUGCGCUCUAGAUAAGAGUUA